CGACAGCAUUGGACAAUAUUUUAAAAGUUCAAAAGAAGUUUUCUUCCUAAACAUUUACUUAGCUUUUGGCCUUGAGUUGAAGAGAAUCAAAGAUAUACACCAUUCCUAGAACCUAGAUACAAGAUCCAGGGGUUUUUUCCAAACCAGCAACUCUUGCAGAAUAUUCAUGAAACUCUACGGUGUGCGGCCAAGAAGACACCUGAACUCAAGCUGCAGAUCUGAUACGACUUCCCAAUGCGAUGGUGUAUGACGUGUGAGCCCUAAGUCCUGAAAGCUACACUCUUUAGAACAUGCUUCACACAUUGUAUUGGACCUGCCUUCUGAAUACUUUCUCUCCACGACUGUGGGUCCUGCUUAUAAAGCCUGUGCUGUCUUCAUCAAAGAACCUCCAGCAUCUAGCAUGACGCCUGGUGCAUAGCUACGUCACCGGCAUGACAGACGAGACACAAGUCCCAGGAGGGCAGGGCGUCUGUAGGGUUUGCUCACUGCUCUGUCCCAGUGCCUGGCACGUAGAGGUGCUCAGCAAGUAUUUGCUGAGUGAGCAUCAGGCCGUUGAGGAGUGGAAAGUCAAGUUCUCACCACCCAGAGGCGUGCCCCAGGAUUUCUCAGAUUGUUUCACUUGCACAGACUGAGGUAGCUUUAGCAGGAGGGAGGAUGGGAAGGGUGAGAGGCAGUGGCUGUGAAAGGCAGGGAGGGUGAGGCAUCUUCAACCUUGACCGUCACUCUUACCCUGAUACAGACGGGGCUCCAGCAGCCCAGCCACCUACUCUCCUGCCGACCACUGAGAUCUGAGAGUCAGGAAGCCAAGCUGCCUUUCUACAGAGUGAUGCUGCUUCAGAAGAUGACCGGAGCGUCCUUGUCGGCAGCCCCUCUGUCUCACACAUUGCAACUGCUUCCCACGCAGUCCUGCCCUGAUGCUCCCAGCCUUGCCCUUAAGUGACCCUGAAAGCUGCCUUUUUCCAGAUGAGGAGACGCAGCACAUUUUUGCCAUUGGCAGGCUCCCUCGGGCCAGGAUUCCUAAAUAGAUUUAAAUCGAACAACUUAUCUCUUGGAAACUGAUUAGCACCCUGAUGUUUGCUCAGCUGCCUAUGUUGAAAUCUACUCUUAUCCAUCAACUAGCAGAUAUGGAAUACCUCCUGGGAGUCUGGGACCCUGCUAGGUCCAGAGAAACAUGAAGUAGUCCACACCAGGAAGCAGUUUCCUCCUUGCCUGGGGAGGCCCGAGAAAGUAGAGGACAGCAGCUAGGUGCUUCAUCAUGUGACAUGUGACAUGGGUGCCAAGGUCGCAGCAGUUGAGGGACUGGAGGGUGACUGGGGAUGGCAGUAGGUGGGGGCUGUGAGGCUGAGACUCAAGCAGAUGGAGCACAGAAGUGGGGAAACACAGUCGUGAGGGUGGCUGGGAGCACAGGCAUGGGGGCAUGAUGUCUCAGGACACCUCAAGGAGGCCUGCCUGGAUAGAGCGCGUGUGCCAGGACACCUGGUCGACAGGGCUGACUAGCUGGGGCAGGGCCAGCCGCCAGGGGCCAUGGAAGGCCGUGACGUAUGAAGAAUUACACGGGUGAUUCUGAGAGGUCAACUUGCUCAGCAGGCAGAAUGGGAAACAGACCAGAGGCUGCAGGGACACCAACCAGAGAGGAGUGUGGCUGGCACGAGGUAGUGCAGGCUGGUCUGGGGUAGAUGGGGUGGGAAAGAAAGGAUAAGGCGAGGUAAGAACGGCAGGAUGUGGCGACAGAGUGGGUGCACUGGACGACAGAAAGAGAGGCUUUGGGCCCCAUGAGGUAAGAGGGGUCAAAAGUUUAGGGCAAAAUUCAAUGACACAAAAUUAGCAAGAGAGCUGUUUAAUUUCUUUUUAAAAAAAAUUGCAUCAUCUUUUUAAAUUAUGGUAAAAUACACAUAACAUGAAAUUUACCAUUUUAGACAUUUUUAAGUGUACAGUUCAGUGGCAUUAAGUACUUUCAUGAUGUUGCAUAACCAUCACCAGCACCCAUCUCCGGGACUCUUUCAUCUUCGUAAACUGAAGCUCUGUCCCCAUUAAACUAACUCCCCAUCCCAUCCCCAUCGCCCCUGGCAACCCCCAUUCUGCUUUCUGUCUCCAGGAAUCUGAUUCCUCUAGGGACCUCUUAUAAGUGGAAUCUUACAGUAUUUGUCCAUUUGUGACAGGCUUACUUCACUCAGUGCAACGUCCUAAAGGUUCAUCCAUGAUGUAGCAGGUGUCAGAAUUCCCUCCCUUUUUAAGACUGAACAGUAGCCCAUUGUAUGCAUAUACACAUUUUGUUUACCCAUCAUCUGUUGAUGGACACUUGGGUUGCUUCCACCUUCUGACUAUUGCGAAUAAUGCUGAUACGUAUAUGUGUGUACAAAUAUCUGUUCGAGUUCCUGCUUUCAAUUUAUCUUUCUCUUCUUGCAUUUUAUGAUAAGCAAAUCAAGUCAUUUCUUCAACAUUUUGCUUAUAAAUCUCUUCAGGUAAAUAUCCAGUUUUAUUGCUUGAAAGUUUUACCUUCCGCGAAACACUGGAACACAGAUCAUCCAAGUUCUUUGCCUUUUUAUACUAAGGAUCGCCUUUCCUCCAGUUUCCAAUAAGAUGUUCCUCAUUUCUGUGCGAGACUUUAUAAGAAAGGCCUUUAACAUCCAUAUUUCUGCCAGCAUUCUGUUCAUGACGAUAAAGGUAUUUUCUAAGAUGACAGAGGCUCUCUCUAGCUCUUCUCUUUCCUCCUGAGUCCUCACCAGAAUCGCCUUUAACAACCACGUAUCUCCCUAUAGUCACUUUAAGGCAAUCCAGGAUUUUUCUGGCAUGCAUCUUAAAACUUCCACCUCUACCCAUCACCCAGCUCCAACACCACUUCCACAUAUUUAGAUCUUCAUUACAGCAGCACCUUGCUUCUCAGCACCCAAAUCUGUAUUAGUCUGCCUGCAGACUAUGUGGCUUGAACAAUCGGAAUUUAUCUUCUCACAGUUCUGGAGGCUCGAUGUCCAAGAUGAAGACGCCAGCAAAUUCAGUUCCUGGCAAGAGCUCUCUUCCUGGCUUGCAGGCAACCACCUUCUUGCCAUGUCCUCACAUGGCCUCUGCUCUGUGCAUACGCGGAGAGAGAGAGAUCUCUUCUUAGAAAGACACCAGUUCUAUCAGACUAGGGUCCCACCCUUAUGACCUCAUCUAACCUUAAUUACCUUCUUAAAGGCCCUCUCUCCAAACACAGUCACACUGGGGUUUAGGGCUUCUACAUAUGAAAUUUGUUCCACAGCUCAGUCCAUAACAGCAUACAUCUCAUGGCCUUGUUUAGCUGGCUGUGACAUCAUGAAAUGAGUGCUGGACCUCAGUCAGGUCAAUUUCUCCCCUCAUCCAAGCCCGUCCUCCUUGGAAAGCCAUUUAACCACAAUGGGUCUCAGAAACGUCAUGGGGGAAAACGUGACCUUUUCUCAGAGUUGCACGAAAGGUUAAAUCCAAUCAUGAACGUGGAGACAUUUUAGUACCCCAAGGAAUUCCUAGUCACAGCCUUUGAGGUCCCCGCAAUGGUCUAACAGUCAAAUGACCAAAGCCUGUCUCUAUCCUCAUCGCUGGGCACACUCUUCACACUGACCUCUUGCCUGCUAGUAAGUGCGGGAGGAGAGCAUCCUCUUUUUAGGCACUGUUUGGGAAGAGAGAUGGAGGAUGGCAAACACUUUGUCUCAAAGGAGUCUCAGCUGUGUUCGGUCUCAGCAGGACCUGAGUGGGUGGUGGUGUCUGCCGUGGGUGUGGGGAGUGGGGCCAGACGUAGCCCAGACCAGCUGCGGCUCUGGUGGUCAAUCACUAGGCUCCUGUUUUUCAAUUUUCUAGGCUCUCAGUAACCCUCUUAUCACUCUCCAGUGCAGGAUUUGUUUUUCAAGGAUAUGGAAUCCUAAUGCCAGAAGGCGGUCCUAGAAGACAGGCCAGGGAAGUCCCUGGAACAUGAAGAGUGGAGCAGCAAAGAGUGUCCCCAGCCAGAGAGCCACGGUGGGGAGGAUAAAAUCCAAGCCUGCUGGAGGGUCAGGACAUAGCGGUGAAUUUAUGUGCCCAGCACCUAGUCUCUCACAUACAAGAUGCUGAAUGAAUGGAUGCCCAGAACGAGAGAUGGAACCAUUCACUAAUCCAUUAAACGAACAAUUGACAGCCACUAUGGGCCAGAUGCUGGACUAGAAUGGUAGGGAUACGGGGGUGAACAGGACAUGCUUCUGCCUCAAGGAAUCUGCUGUUUAGAGAAGAACACGCAGGCACACAGGAUGCCGCGACGUGGUGUUGUGAAUGUUGUGGCGAUGGUACAUGCACGGGGGGGGGCACCAAGAUGGC
This 4299-nucleotide long non-coding RNA is filed under the name Equus caballus (horse). RNAcentral describes it as "lncRNA (ENSECAG00000058509.1)". Lineage: Eukaryota; Metazoa; Chordata; Mammalia; Perissodactyla; Equidae. The record is from RNAcentral.